GCUAACUCGUAUCGGUCAAGUCCGUCUAGUGCUAGCCGCUAGAACGCCGUCAAUAUGAAAGCGUUUAGCCUUUAUUUAGACUAGAUUUCGGCUAAAGGGCCGUUAAACCUAACGUUAUCGUCAGAGGAGAGUCUUUAUAACGUCGGAAAUGGCCUAUAGUAUUACAAAGUCCUUACUACUGCAAAAAGGGCACUUUCUUUCCAGCAAAAGAGGGCGUUCAUUCAAGAAAUACUUUUGCCGUUCUUUAAAAGGCCAGAAAAAGGGCACUUUUUACUUUAAAAAGAAGUGGGGGGAGCACAUACCCCUUUGCUCCCCCUAGUUCAGCGGCCGCAGUGGUUCAGUUACCAACUGGUAUCGAACGAUAAGAUCCUAUGAUCGGUAACUACCACACACAAGUAAUAGUAACAGUUCGGUAUAUAAGUACGUAACAGUUGCCCGGUGUGGUGCAUGUGGGACGCUUUAGUUCGGUGUUUACCAAACCUUUGAAACAAACGCAUGCGCGAUAAUCUGACACUCGGGUAGACGUAGCGC
Molecule: non-coding RNA, 531 nt
Organism: Paramuricea clavata
Lineage: Eukaryota; Metazoa; Cnidaria; Anthozoa; Malacalcyonacea; Plexauridae
Source: the annotation of a GenBank genome assembly